Long non-coding RNA from Orbicella faveolata, 942 nucleotides. The record is from RefSeq and is a predicted model, not a curated record. NCBI's taxonomy places the organism in Eukaryota, Metazoa, Cnidaria, Anthozoa, Scleractinia, Merulinidae.
CCAAUCAAAGCGGUGUAGUAACUAAGUAAUAUAAUAAAUGAGCUUACAGUGCUAAAAUUGCUCUAAAUGUUAGGCUUCUGCAAAUGAUCCAUUGGACUGAGAAAUGAAUUUUAUUUUAAUUUUACCUUUCACAUUUUGGUAAUAUUUACAAACUUUUAUGUGUAGCCCUGUGGAUCCUGGUUAACAAGUAGUGGUGUGGUCACCAGGUCAGCGGUAACUCCAAUUGUUGAGCUAUUGGAAGCUGGAUUUGUACCAAUUUUGCAUGGUGACUGUGUACUGGAUGAUGUUCAGGGCUGCUCUAUACUAAGUGGAGACAAAAUUAUUCAGAGGUUAGCAGAAGAGCUUCGUCCAAAAAGAGUUGUAUUUUUGACAGAUGUUGAUGGAAUAUAUGACAAACCCCCUGAAAAAGAAGAUUCAGUGUUGCUUCGAAAAGUGUACGUUAAAUCAGAUGGACAAAUGAAUGUUACCAUAGCGACAUCAAACCUUCAUCAUGACGUCACCGGCGGGAUUCGCGAGAAGCUUCAAACAGCGUCCAAUAUAAUUCGUAUUUCUGAACAGCAUUCGCGCGUCUUUGUGUUAAAUAUAAUGUCCGAAACUGUUGCAUAUUCUGUCUGUAGUCGGGGAGUUUUGGACGGAAAUGGUACAGAAAUAUUGGCAGAAACUCAAGAGUUCAACAGAGUAAACAUUCAGUGACAUGCGUGUGUGAGAUUAUUGCACAUUACUUAUAAAUUUAAUUCGUCACCUUCAAAUGUUGGAAAACACAAACGUCACCAACUGUCAAGUUGAUGCUCAUGGAUCCUCGCACUGCCCCAUGUGCAUGCAGGAUAUUCGCACUCACAAUUUUUGUUGUGUGGCAUAACAAACGUACGUUAUAUACCAGUAGUCAGGGAGAUCUUAGGCAAGCCCUUAGUUUGUAAUAAAGUUCAUGAAGCGGAGAAGAAA